GUCUACAGUCAUACCUCCCUGGAUGCACCUGAUCUCAUCUGAUCUCAGAAGCUAAGCAGGUUGGGCCUGGUUAGUAGUUGGAUGGAAGAAAUGACCUCCAAAAGAGAGGUAAGCC
This 115-nucleotide ribosomal RNA is filed under the name Carlito syrichta (Philippine tarsier). Lineage: Eukaryota; Metazoa; Chordata; Mammalia; Primates; Tarsiidae. The record is from RNAcentral.